This 247-nucleotide ribosomal RNA is filed under the name uncultured Limnohabitans sp. Its description in RNAcentral is "partial 16S ribosomal RNA". It matches the Rfam family "Bacterial small subunit ribosomal RNA", at positions 1 to 257 of the family's 1533-position model. The record is from RNAcentral. Lineage: Bacteria; Pseudomonadati; Pseudomonadota; Betaproteobacteria; Burkholderiales; Comamonadaceae.
CGACGAGUUUGAUCCUGGCUCAGAUUGAACGCUGGCGGAAUGCUUUACACAUGCAAGUCGAACGGUAGAGGGGGCAACCCCUUGAGAGUGGCGAACGGGUGAGUAAUAUAUCGGAACGUGCCCAGUCGUGGGGGAUAACGUAGCGAAAGUUACGCUAAUACCGCAUACGAUCUAAGGAUGAAAGCGGGGGUAUCGCAAGACCUCGCGCGACUGGAGCGGCCGAUAUCAGAUUAGGUAGUUGGUAGGG